AUGGUUGUGGCUCCCCCGUGGAACCCUAGAUCCCCUUCUAGGUUUUCCUGCCAUAGUUUCGGAGGUGCGGCGCUUCGGCCAAUCCGCUCGUUUCCUCCUCCCUUCCCCAUCCCCUCCGCCCCUGCUCCGUUCCUUUGCGCAGGCCGUGAAGAUGGGUUCCAAGUCCGAUCGGAGGGGGGAGAAGCCGCCCAUGGAGCCGCCGCGGGACCGCGCCCGUGGCCGCGACGACGACGAGGGUGGCUGGGGGCCACCGCCUGCCUGGUGGCUCGAGGAAUAGGAGAGGAAAAAAAGAAGAAGGAAGAGUAUCGGAAGAAGGGCCUCGAGCUCAAGAGAAAGGGGCAGCAGGCUGUUCAGGGCGGCGACCGCGCCGUCGACCUGCAAGCGAAGAAGCCGAAGCUCAAGCCUGCGGGGGCGGCGGCUUCCAAGCCUCCCCUCCCGCCCAGAUCCGCGCUGCCUAGCUCCUCCAAGGGCUCUAAGGAGGCGCCGAUCCCUAUCGAAGACGCCGACGGCCCUGGGUGCUUCAAGUGCGGCCGUUCUGGGCAUUUCCAGAGUACCUGCUCCUUCCAGCCGCUGUGUGUGGUGUGCAGUAAGGAGGGCCACACCUCGGCGCAGUGCCCUACGCGCGGCAAGCCUCUGCUCCUGCAAACCAUGGGGCACGCCAUCGCCGGCGAAGGCUUCUACUGCCUCCAGUUCCCGGACGAUGCAAGGGAGGCGACUCCGGUCCUCAUGGAGGCCAACAUGGCCGUGCUCUCCUCGCCUUCGGGUGUGCUCUCAAGGGAGAUCUUGGAGAGGGAGCUGCAGCACCUGUUUGAGGGCGCAUGGGAUUGGCAGAUCACACCAAUGGAUGGCGGCGCGUUCUCUGUGGUGUUUCCUGACCCGGUGAUGCUCCGGAUGGCGACCAGGAGUGGCAAGCUUUUUCUGUCCCUCAAUAACCUUAUGGUGGAUAUUCGCGAUGCGAUUCUUGACGCGCCCAAAGGACUAGAGAUGCUGGAGGUGUGGGUCAAGUUGGGUGGUGUUCCUCCGAAGCAACGACGCGCCGACCGUCUCAUGGCGGCCACCACCAUGCUUGGCCGCCCCCUGCAGGUUGAUGAGGAGUCCCUGCUUCGCCCCGGGCCGGUGCGCAUGCGCUUUGCCUGCCGCAACCCUCGCAAGCUCAGGGGGAGGGUAUAG
This 1170-nucleotide ribosomal RNA is filed under the name Triticum aestivum (bread wheat). RNAcentral's name for it is "partial small subunit ribosomal RNA". Lineage: Eukaryota; Viridiplantae; Streptophyta; Magnoliopsida; Poales; Poaceae. The record is from RNAcentral.